UGUCUACAGAAGACACAGUGAGAAAGGCAUCCUCUGGUGAGCAGUUCUGGCGAGACAGGUAGGCAUCUCACUGGGGAUGGCUCAAGCAGUGGGAUCCUCACCUGCUGCUUCCAUCCUGCUUUUUCUGCCAUUUACUCCUUUGAAAUUUACUCUCAAAGGUAGAAAGGUAAAUUUCUGCUAUUUACUUUGAAAUUAAAGGUUAUUUUGGGGGAAAAAAUCCAGAAAUUUAAAAUAUUGGUGGCAAAAACUGUCCUGCACAUUCAAUUCUCCAUGUAAGAAUAGUUAAUGCUAUUUAAAAUGCCUGAACACACACCUAAAAUAGGUAAAGGUCCACAUAAGAAAGGUAUUUCCAUAGGAUUAAAGUUCUGGAAGUUGUCAAGGUGGAUCAUAGUUUCGUCAUAGUCAUGAUGUUUAAACAAUACAUAUGAUGAGGCCACUCACUACUCAUACAGGCUCCUGACCAAUCAGCAUGAACGUGAGCUCUAAAUGCCAAAUAGAACUACAUGAUGCAAACCAGUGCACCAUUAAUUGUUUAUGUCGCAUUGCUGGAGUAGCGGUUCUCAGCUAGCUCAUCUGCCUCCCAGGAAGCAAAACAGACAUUACAGGGCCUACCAGACAAAUGCAGAACAUGAUGCGUUAAUGUUUCCAUAUCUCCCAGUACAUGAUUCUGGAAUAGCACGACCUGAAAGUCUAAAUGGACAUCCUUCAAUCCAUGCAGGAUCACAGGUAAUUCCAUCUACACCCAAAUGUAUAGGUUAUUAUGUGCCCACUAUUGCUUUGCUUCCACGCUGACUUGAGACAGAUUUUUCCACAAAUUGGACCCGACCAGCUGAUAGACUAGAAAUUCUUCCUGUACUGACUCCUGCUGACAGGUGUAAAAUAAUCAAACAUCAACUGAGGCUGGGAGCACAUGGGAGGUCACCCAAAGGUUCAUUGAAGUAUAUUUGAAUUGAUUAAUUAAUGAGGCAAGCUUAAUAUUAUCUGCCCUAUCAAUUAAAUGUUCAUUCCUUCUUUCUUAGACUGUGUUAUGGAACUGAAAAUCUGAAACCUUAAAACCAGAUGGGUGGUCUGGAGACAGGACCAGCUGUGCAGAGAAAAUGACAGGACAAAAAGAAACAAAGUCCAACAUAAGAUAAGCUUGGGAUGGCAAAAGUUACAAAAUUAGGUCAAUAAAAUGUCAGCAUUAUAGUACA
This 1193-nucleotide long non-coding RNA is filed under the name Vulpes vulpes (red fox). Its description in RNAcentral is "lncRNA (ENSVVUG00000020848.1)". Lineage: Eukaryota; Metazoa; Chordata; Mammalia; Carnivora; Canidae. The record is from RNAcentral.